This 497-nucleotide ribosomal RNA is filed under the name uncultured bacterium. Its description in RNAcentral is "partial 16S ribosomal RNA". It matches the Rfam family "Bacterial small subunit ribosomal RNA", at positions 28 to 507 of the family's 1533-position model. The record is from RNAcentral.
GAUGAACGCUGGCGGCGUGCCUAAUACAUGCAAGUCGAGCGAACAGACGAGGAGCUUGCUCCUCUGACGUUAGCGGCGGACGGGUGAGUAACACGUGGAUAACCUACCUAUAAGACUGGGAUAACUUCUGGAAACCGGAGCUAAUACCGGAUAAUAUAUUGAACCGCAUGGUUCAAUAGUGAAAGACGGUUUUGCUGUCACUUAUAGAUGGAUCCUCGCCGCAUUAGCUAGUUGGUAAGGUAACGGCUUACCAAGGCAACGAUGCGUAGCCGACCUGAGAGGGUGAUCGGCCACACUGGAACUGAGACACGGUCCAGACUCCUAAGGGAGGCAGCAGUAGGGAAUCUUCCGCAAUGGGCGAAAGCCUGACGGAGCAACGCCGCGUGAGUGAUGAAGGUCUUCGGAUCGUAAAACUCUGUUAUUAGGGAAGAACAAAUGUGUAAGUAACUAUGCACGUCUUGACGGUACCUAAUCAGAAAGCCACGGAUAACUACGUG